This 111-nucleotide small RNA is filed under the name Klebsiella pneumoniae. RNAcentral describes it as "partial RtT sRNA". It matches the Rfam family "RtT RNA", at positions 1 to 108 of the family's 130-position model. Rfam says of the family: This family represents a bacterial cis-regulatory element known as RtT RNA. The record is from RNAcentral. RNAcentral also lists the same sequence under 1 other name. Lineage: Bacteria; Pseudomonadati; Pseudomonadota; Gammaproteobacteria; Enterobacterales; Enterobacteriaceae.
UGCAUCUGAGGCCUGCGAGGAUGAGAACCUCCGGGGGCAGGAGGUUCGACUCGAGCGAAGCGAGAGAACGUUGCGUCAGCAACGGCCCGCAGGGCGAGCCACGAAGUGGUG